Molecule: ribosomal RNA, 253 nt
Filed under: uncultured bacterium
Lineage: Bacteria
Description: partial 16S ribosomal RNA
Rfam family: Bacterial small subunit ribosomal RNA
Source: RNAcentral
UACGUAGGUGGCGAGCGUUGUCCGGAAUUACUGGGUGUAAAGCGCGCGUAGGCGGGAGGCCAAGUCCGCUGUGAAAUCGCCCGGCUCAACUGGGCGCGGUCGGUGGAAACUGGUCACCUGGAGGACGGUAGAGGCGAGUGGAAUUCCCGGUGUAGUGGUGAAAUGCGUAGAGAUCGGGAGGAACACCAGUGGCGAAGGCGGCUCGCUGGGCCAGUUCUGACGCUCAUCCGCGAAAGCGUGGGGAGCAAACAGG